GCGGUAAUUCAGCUCCAAUAGCGUAUAUGUAAAUUGUUGCGGUUGAAAAGCUCGUAGUUGGACUUCUGGCGGCCGCGAUCGGUCCGCCACGCGCGAGCACUGUUCGCGGCUGUCGUUCUGUCGACGGUGCGCGUCGGACUUCAUUGGCUGGCGCGCUCUCUGUCGGCGUCGUUACUUUGAGGAAAUCAGAGUGCUCAAAGCAAGCGUUCGCUCGUGACUUCACUAGCAUGGAAUAACACAGAUGGGCUCUUUCUCGCAACGUUGGUCUGCGUCAAUUGAGCAACGAUCGAUAGAGACGGUCGGGGGCAUUCGUAUUGCGCAGUUAGAGGUGAAAUUCUCCGAUCUGCGCAAGACGCACUAAUGCGAAAGCAGUUGCCAAGGACGUCCUCUUAUGAUCAAGAGCGAAAGUCGGGGGAUCAAAGAUGAUUAGAUACCGUCGUAGUCCCGACCAUAAAUGAUGCCAACUGAGCGUCGGCGACUCGGCUUCUUGCCGGACGUCGGCGCUCGUGAGAGAAAUUAAAGUCUUUGGGCUCCGGGGGUAGUAUGGUCGCAAGUCUGAAACUUGAAGGAAUUGACGGAAGGGCACCACAAGGCGUGGAUGUUGCGGCUUAAUUUGACUCAACACGGGAAAGCUUACUAGGUUUGGACACUUGCAUGAGGGACAUAUUGAAGCUCUUACCUUAUUUUGUGGAUGGUGGUGCAUGGUCGUUCUCAGCCCGUGGGUUGACCUGUCAGGUUUACUCCGGUAACGCGCGAGACCUCGGUUUGCUAAAUAGGCGCGGCUGUUYCGGCACCCGCUUGCCUUCUUAGAGAGAGACUUGGCGAGAGUCAAGGGAAGUCGAGGCAAUAACAGAUCUGUGAUGCCCUUAGUUAUCCUAGGUCGCACGCGCCAUACAAUGUGGCGCACAACGAGUCUCCUUGGCCGACAGGAGCUCCCUUGGGCGGGCGAUGCGGGCWGACCGGACGGCGGGCGUCUCUUCGGAGUCGUUGCCCGUCACAGGGCUCCGCGACGCCUGCGCGUCCGCCCUCGAGAGCACCAGGGCAAUCUGGCAGAGCGCUACGUGACUGGGCUAGACUUUUGUAAUUGUUGGUCUUGAACGAGGAAUGCCUAGUAAUCGCAGGUCAUCAUCCUGAGAUGAUUCGGUCCCUGCCCUUUGUACACACCGCCCGUCGCUUCAUCCGUGGAAUGCGCCCGGUAAGAGGGGGAAGCAGCGUCGGACGGGUAACACCGGACUGUACGUGGAACCCCUCUGAACCUUCGCACGUAGAGGAAGGAGAAGUCGUAACAAGGUUUUCGUAGGUGAACCUGCGAAAGGAUCAUUAUCGGCACGUCCCU
This 1336-nucleotide ribosomal RNA is filed under the name Flabellia petiolata. RNAcentral describes it as "SSU rRNA". It matches the Rfam family "Eukaryotic small subunit ribosomal RNA". The record is from RNAcentral. Lineage: Eukaryota; Viridiplantae; Chlorophyta; Ulvophyceae; Bryopsidales; Halimedaceae.